Molecule: microRNA precursor, 93 nt
Filed under: Picea abies (Norway spruce)
Lineage: Eukaryota; Viridiplantae; Streptophyta; Pinopsida; Pinales; Pinaceae
Description: miR3697b stem-loop (pab-MIR3697b)
Source: miRBase by way of RNAcentral
AGAAGGCGCGAUUAAUAAUGGUAGCCCCUGACUUCAACAUGAGGAAGAGAAGCAGCUCCUCUUCGUGUUGAAGUCAGGUCUAUCAUUGCAUCC